This 73-nucleotide transfer RNA is filed under the name Ovis aries (sheep). It matches the Rfam family "tRNA". Rfam says of the family: Transfer RNA (tRNA) molecules are approximately 80 nucleotides in length. Lineage: Eukaryota; Metazoa; Chordata; Mammalia; Artiodactyla; Bovidae. The record is from Rfam by way of RNAcentral.
UCCCUGGUAGUCCAGGGAUUAAGACUUCGAGCUUCCAAUUCAGAGGGCCAGGGUUUGAUCCCUGGUCAGGGAA